GGGGAAAUAGUUAAAUGGUAUAACAGCGGUCUCCAAAACCGUUAUUGAGAGUUCGAUUCUUUCUUUCCCCG
Molecule: transfer RNA, 71 nt
Filed under: Candidatus Scatoplasma merdavium
Lineage: Bacteria; Bacillati; Bacillota; Bacilli; Caryophanales
Description: tRNA-Trp
Rfam family: tRNA
About the family: Transfer RNA (tRNA) molecules are approximately 80 nucleotides in length. Their secondary structure includes four short double-helical elements and three loops (D, anti-codon, and T loops).
Source: RNAcentral